GGAGGAUCCAAGCGUUAUCCGGAAUCAUUGGGUUUAAAGGGUCCGUAGGCGGCCUUAUAAGUCAGCGGUGAAAGUUUUUGGCUUAACCAAAGAAUUGCCGUUGAUACUGUAGGGCUUGAAUUUUUGUGAAGUAACUAGAAUAUGUAGUGUAGCGGUGAAAUGCUUAGAUAUUACAUGGAAUACCUAUUGCGAAGGCAGGUUACUAACAAACGAUUGACGCUGAUGGACGAAAGCGUGGGUAGCGAACAGGAUUAGAUACCCUGGUAGUCCACGCCGUAAACGAUGGAUACUAGUUAUUGGAUUUUCGGAUUCAGUGACUAAGCCAAAGUGAUAGGUAUCCCACCUGGGGAGUACGAACGCAAGUUUG
RNAcentral lists this ribosomal RNA (367 nucleotides) under uncultured bacterium. RNAcentral describes it as "bacterial SSU rRNA". It matches the Rfam family "Bacterial small subunit ribosomal RNA", at positions 527 to 896 of the family's 1533-position model. The record is from RNAcentral.